This 551-nucleotide ribosomal RNA is filed under the name uncultured bacterium. RNAcentral's name for it is "bacterial SSU rRNA". It matches the Rfam family "Bacterial small subunit ribosomal RNA", at positions 24 to 596 of the family's 1533-position model. The record is from RNAcentral.
UCAGAACGAACGCUGGCGGCGUGGAUAAGACAUGCAAGUCGAACGAGAGAAUUGCUAGCUUGCUAAUAAUUCUCUAGUGGCGCACGGGUGAGUAACACGUGAGUAACCUGCCCCCGAGAGCGGGAUAGCCCUGGGAAACUGGGAUUAAUACCGCAUAGUAUCGAAAGAUUAAAGCAGCAAUGCGCUUGGGGAUGGGCUCGCGGCCUAUUAGUUAGUUGGUGAGGUAACGGCUCACCAAGGCGAUGACGGGUAGCCGGUCUGAGAGGAUGUCCGGCCACACUGGAACUGAGACACGGUCCAGACACCUACGGGUGGCAGCAGUCGAGAAUCAUUCACAAUGGGGGAAACCCUGAUGGUGCGACGCCGCGUGGGGGAAUGAAGGUCUUCGGAUUGUAAACCCCUGUCAUGUGGGAGCAAAUUAAAAAGAUAGUACCACAAGAGGAAGAGACGGCUAACUCUGUGCCAGCAGCCGCGGUAAUACAGAGGUCUCAAGCGUUGUUCGGAAUCACUGGGCGUAAAGCGUGCGUAGGCUGUUUCGUAAGUCGUGUGUG